CAGGCGUGAAGGGUGGCAUUACUGCGCUGUGCACCCUUCCUCAGCUACCAGCCCCUGCGCGCGCUCGUGCGGAGCCAGCUGGCUGCAUCCCCACCUUCCUGAGUGAAGCCUGCAGGACCCUGCUCCAGGACUGCCCGGAGAGGCUGAGCAAGAAGGCUGCCCUGAGAGCAGCCUCUGCCCAGCAGCUGAUAGGAUACAUGAUGGACAAUUGAAGCCAGAGAAGAGCAGGAGGCUUGGGACACCCGCCCUGCU
Molecule: long non-coding RNA, 252 nt
Organism: Mauremys mutica (yellowpond turtle)
Lineage: Eukaryota; Metazoa; Chordata; Testudines; Geoemydidae
Exons: 3
Source: RefSeq, a predicted model, not a curated record